AUUUAAAUAAAUUUUAAAAUUUAAAGAAUAAAGAUUAUUAAAAAUAAAAUAAUAGAAUAGUUUAAUAAUUUUAGUAUAAUAUUAUGAAUAAAAAAUUAAUAAAUUUUGAACUGUAAAGGAUUAAAUAAAAUAAAAAAAAGAUAAUUUAAUUUAUUGUACCUUUUGUAUCAGGGAUUAUUAAAAUGUUAAUAAAAAUUUAUAGAUCUCGAAUUAGAAGGGGUUAAUUAAAUAUUAAAGUUAAUGUAUAAAAAUUAUUUUAAAUAUUUAAUUAGAGAUGAAAUGUUAGUCGGAUUUUAAGAUAUCUAGUUUUUUAAUAAAGAAAUUAAAUUUAUUAUUAAAAAUAAUUUAUUGAUUAAUAAAAAUUAGUAAAUUUUUUAAAAAAUAAAAUUUAUGGGAUUAAUUAUAAAUUUAAGUUAAAUAAAUAUUAUAUUUAAAUUAUAAAAUUUAGAGAUUAAAAUAUUUAUAAUUAAAAAGUUUUUAAUAAUUUAUUGAAUAAUUAAGUAAUAUAAUUUAAAAUAUUUAUUAAUUAUAUAUUAAAAUAAAAUUUAAAAUAAAAAAUAAUUUAAAAUAAUGAUAAUAUUAGUAUAAAUAAUAUGUUAAUUAAUUUAAAGAUUAUAAAUUAAUUAAAGGAAUUAGGCAAAUUUUUAAAGUUCACUUGUUUAACAAAAACAUGUUUUUUUGAUUAUAAUUUAAAAUUUACUCUGCCCAAUGAAUAAAAUUUAAUGGCCGCAGUAUAUUGACUGUGCAAAGGUAGCAUAAUAAAUAGUUUUUUAAUUGAAGACUGGAAUGAAGGAGGGGAUGAAAUUUUAACUGUCUCUUUUUAAAAAAUAAAAAUUUAUAUUAAGUGAAAAAUCUUAAAUUAAUUUAAGGGACGAGAAGACCCUAUAGAAUUUAAAAUUUAUUAUAAAAUAAAAUUAGUUAAUUUUAUAAUUUAUUUAUUAAUAAUUUUUUUAUUGGGAGGAUAUUAAAAUUUAAAAAACUUUUAAUUUAUAAAAACAUAAAUUUAUGAAAUAUUUAGUAUAAUUAUAUAAAAAAAAUAAAAUUACCUUAGGGAUAACAGCGUAAUAAAUUUUUAAAGUUCAAAUUAAAAAAUUUGUUUGCGACCUCGAUGUUGAAUUAAAAUAAAAUUUAAGUGUAGAAGCUUAAUAUUUAAGUCUGUUCGACUUUUAAAAUUUUACAUGAUUUG
RNAcentral lists this ribosomal RNA (1186 nucleotides) under Chrysis bicolor. RNAcentral's name for it is "partial 16S ribosomal RNA". The record is from RNAcentral. Lineage: Eukaryota; Metazoa; Arthropoda; Insecta; Hymenoptera; Chrysididae.